AGUGGCGCACGGGUGCGUAACGCGUGGGAAUCUGCCCUUGGGUUCGGAAUAACAGUUAGAAAUGACUGCUAAUACCGGAUGAUGUCUUCGGACCAAAGAUUUAUCGCCCAAGGAUGAGCCCGCGUAGGAUUAGGUAGUUGGUGGGGUAAAGGCCUACCAAGCCGACGAUCCUUAGCUGGUCUGAGAGGAUGAUCAGCCACACUGGGACUGAGACACGGCCCAGACUCCUACGGGAGGCAGCAGUGGGGAAUAUUGGACAAUGGGGGCAACCCUGAUCCAGCAAUGCCGCGUGAGUGAUGAAGGCCUUAGGGUCGUAAAGCUCUUUUACCAGGGAUGAUAAUGACAGUACCUGGAGAAUAAGCUCCGGCUAACUCCGUGCCAGCAGCCGCGGUAAUACGGAGGGAGCUAGCGUUGUUCGGAAUUACUGGGCGUAAAGCGCACGUAGGCGGUUAUUCAAGUCAGAGGUGAAAGCCCGGGGCUCAACCCCGGAACUGCCUUUGAAACUAGAUGACUGGAAUCUUGGAGAGGUCAGUGGAAUUCCGAGUGUAGAGGUGAAAUUCGUAGAUAUUCGGAAGAACACCAGUGGCGAAGGCGACUGACUGGACAAGUAUUGACGCUGAGGUGCGAAAGCGUGGGGAGCGAACAGGAUUAGAUACCCUGGUAGUCCACGCCGUAAACGAUGAUAACUAGCUGUCCGGAC
Molecule: ribosomal RNA, 700 nt
Filed under: uncultured Alphaproteobacteria bacterium
Lineage: Bacteria; Pseudomonadati; Pseudomonadota; Alphaproteobacteria
Description: bacterial SSU rRNA
Rfam family: Bacterial small subunit ribosomal RNA
Source: RNAcentral